This 302-nucleotide ribosomal RNA is filed under the name uncultured bacterium. Its description in RNAcentral is "partial 16S ribosomal RNA". It matches the Rfam family "Bacterial small subunit ribosomal RNA", at positions 508 to 807 of the family's 1533-position model. The record is from RNAcentral.
GCAGUAGCCGCGGGAACACAGAGGGUGCGAGCGUUAAUCGGAUUUACUGGGCGUAAAGCGUGCGUAGGCGGCUUUUUAAGUCGGAUGUGAAAUCCCUGAGCUUAACUUAGGAAUUGCAUUCGAUACUGGGAAGCUAGAGUAUGGGAGAGGAUGGUAGAAUUCCAGGUGUAGCGGUGAAAUGCGUAGAGAUCUGGAGGAAUACCGAUGGCGAAGGCAGCCAUCUGGCCUAAUACUGACGCUGAGGUACGAAAGCAUGGGGAGCAAACAGGAUUAGAUACCCCCGUAGUCCCUGUCUCUUAUAC